ACUCCUCCUGUGACCACCAGCGCUGCAAUGAGGGUUAUUAAGAGUGGUUAGAAAGGGGAGCAGUUGGGCUGUUCUAAACUUAGCGUAACCUGAAGCAAGCCAUGAGGUAUCCCCUGGUUCCUCUGGUGAACGAGCUGACCUUUCCACUGCUUUUCUUCUGGUUCUGUUUGCCUUUUGUAAUGCUGCUGAUCGUCGCCAUUAUCUGGCUACAGCUGCUGCUCAGUGAAGAUGCCCAGAAUAGAAAAGAUUAAGAAAGACUCUCCUGAUGAGCCUGAUUCUGACUCUGAAGAUGAAUUAACAGAGGAAGAAAGCCAGAGUGAUGCAUCCAGUACGGAGAUGCAAGAGGAGUCACAAUCCAGUGGAACUAUGAGAAGACUGAGGCCCAAACCUGCUUAUCUGAGCUUAAAUCCAAAAAGCCAAAAGCAAAGUCUUGCUGUGACCUUGAACAGCUGCUCCCAGAGGCAGAAGAUAAGAUAUUUCCCUACUGAAAAGAGCAUUUUCUGUAACAUCCUGGUGAAGGGGCUCACA
This is a long non-coding RNA of Parus major (Great Tit), 528 nucleotides long. RefSeq lists it as uncharacterized. The record is from RefSeq and is a predicted model, not a curated record. The transcript has 3 exons. NCBI's taxonomy places the organism in Eukaryota, Metazoa, Chordata, Aves, Passeriformes, Paridae.